AACGAACGCUGGCGGCAUGCCUAACACAUGCAAGUCGAACGAACCCUUCGGGGUUAGUGGCGCACGGGUGCGUAACGCGUGGGAAUCUGCCCUUUGCUUCGGAAUAACAGUUAGAAAUGACUGCUAAUACCGGAUGAUGUCGCAAGACCAAAGAUUUUUCGGCAAAGGAUGAGCCCGCGUAGGAUUAGCUCGUUGGUGGGUUAACGGCUCACCAAGGCGACGAUCCUUAGCUGGUCUGAGAGGAUGAUCAGCCACACUGGGAUUGGGACACGGCCCAGACUCCUACGGGAGGCAGCAUUGGGUAAUAUUGGACAAUGGGCGAAAGCCUGAUCCAGCAAUGCCGCGUGAGUGAUGAAGGCCUUCGGGUUGUAAAGCUCUUUUACCAGGGAUGAUAAUGACAGUACCUGGAGAAUAAGCUCCGGCUAACUCCGUGCCAGCAGCCGCCGCCG
This 449-nucleotide ribosomal RNA is filed under the name uncultured bacterium. Its description in RNAcentral is "partial 16S ribosomal RNA". It matches the Rfam family "Bacterial small subunit ribosomal RNA", at positions 29 to 523 of the family's 1533-position model. The record is from RNAcentral.